This 1315-nucleotide unclassified non-coding RNA is filed under the name Hevea brasiliensis (rubber tree). Lineage: Eukaryota; Viridiplantae; Streptophyta; Magnoliopsida; Malpighiales; Euphorbiaceae. The record is from RNAcentral.
AAAUCAAACAUGAAAGAUGACCAUGCGGUUGGUUGAUGCUCUGAAACAGAAGCAAUAAUGGGAAUAUGGUCUUUCGCGUAAGUUGGAUCCAGUAGUGAGUAAAACCGACCGGUCCAUGGAGAGAUAUAACCAGAAGCAGUCCCAACUCCAAGAGCAAUGACACCGACACUUAUAGCACAAGUUAAUGUUAUCCUUAAGAAAGCUUGAAACAACUUCUGAUCAUUCAGUAGAUGUUUCACCCAAUCCAAGAAAUAAAACACCUGCAUCAAGAAAAAUACUCCCAUUGCUGCCAUAUGUUCUCCCGACUGUACAUGCUGAAAACCCACAAAACGAAUUUGCAUUGCUAGCAACAUUCCUAAAAUGUACAUGCAGUUGUAAGCCACAUAUAGCCUCAUCGAAUAUCUUCCGACAACCAAGAGUACCAGCACAUACAGUGGAAUAAGAUUAAUGAUAAAUACAUAACCACCCCAAGCUGAAACCAUGUAGAAGUACCCUAAUGCUGAGCCCAGAGACCAAGCAAGUGAACCUGUUUUCACUGCCUUAACAAAUAAAUAGAAAGUAAGCAGCAGUGCAAAUAUAGCAACCCCCUCAUUGUCAUAUGAUCCUGCCACCGACCUUGAGAUGUAACCAGGACAGAUAGCAAUCAAUGCUGCAGCCACAAGCCCAGCACCCGUAUCCCAUAACUCUUUCCCAAAGAAGUAAGCAACAAGAGUUGUGUUGGAAGCAAAGAAUGGUGCUGUGAGCACACAUACCUCACGGAUAUGGACAGCAAACCUGAGGAAUCUAAGUAUCCAGUAGAUAAAGGCAGCAGUGACCAUAAGUCCAGGAUAAAGCGUACCACCAAUGAUCCUUCCAAGUGGAUACCAACUCUCGGAGUCGAACCAGUUCCAGAACUCGUAAAAACCUUUCUGAGUCAAAUACAAGGUCGUCCUGUAAUUGAAAUACGGAUCGAAUUCAUGGAUCAUGCUCUCAUAUCUGAGCACACUGAAGAGGCGAGUGAUAAAUGCGAGAAUGUAGACGAGUCCGAGGAUCGAAAUUCGAAGGAGAAGCUCCUGUUGCUUCGUCUUCAGCUUUAGAGAUUUGAGUGAGAAGAAUGACUGCGAUGAGGAAAGCAGAUCCGUUGCUUUCUCCAUUUCUGCGAGAGAUUAGAUCUACUACUAAUUCAGCUCAAUUGAUGAACAGAAUGCGAAUUUUCGAUUCGAAUUUGCCGAGUUUUGGAUCUUUGUUACAUUUAUGAGCGAUGGAUCAAAACACAAACCCUACUGAAACGCCAGUGAUAGUACUCUAUGAAUCAUGGAAGGAUCCUCAGAGCAAG